GUGACGGCGUACCUUUUGUAUAAUGGGUCAUCGACUUGGUCUAUCUAGCAAGCUUAAGCCGUUAGGUGUAGGCGCAGCGAAAGCGAGUCUUAAUAGGGCGUAUGAGUUAGAUGGAUCAGACCCGAAACCGAGUGAUCUAGGCAUGACCAGGAUGAAGGUAAGGUAACACUUACUGGAGGUCCGAACCCACACCUGUUGAAAAAGGUCGGGAUGAGUUGUGCCUAGGGGUGAAAGGCCAAUCAAACUCGGAGAUAGCUGGUUCUCUGCGAAAUCUAUUUAGGUAGAGCGUCAUCCGAAUACCCUCGGGGGUAGAGCACUGGAUGGGUAAUGGGGCCCCACAGGCUUACUGAUCCUAACCAAACUCCGAAUACCGAGGAGUACUAGAUGGCAGACAGACAGCGGAUGCUAACGUCCGUUGUCGAGAGGGAAACAACCCUGACCUACAGCUAAGGCCCCUAAUUCAUGGCUAAGUGGGAAAGCAGGUGGGACGACCAAAACAACCAGGAGGUUGGCUUAGAAGCAGCCAUCCUUUAAAGAUAGCGUAACAGCUCACUGGUCUAAAUAAGUUGUCCUGCGGCGAAGAUGUAACGGGGCUCAAGCCAUGAGCCGAAGCUUAGGAUGAGUGAAUUCUUCGGAAUUCAUUCGUGGUAGCAGAGCGUAGUGUGACAUAGUUCCGUGUCUCUUUAGCGACUUCGGUCGUUACGGAGACGUGGAGCUUUCGAUGAAGCGGGCGCGUGAGCGAUCCCGUGGAGAGAUCACUAGUGAGAAUGAUGACAUGAGUAGCGACAAACAGUGUGAGAGACACUGUCGCCGAAAGUCCAAGGGUUCCUGCUUAAAGCUAAUCUGAGCAGGGUAAGCCGACCCCUAAGGCGAGGCCGAAAGGCGUAGUCGAUGGGAACCAGGUUAAUAUUCCUGGGCCAGAUGGAAGUGACGGAUCUCGAGGGUAGUUCAUCCUUAUCGGAUUGAGUGGGCUGCUUAGAGGUUCCUGGAAAUAGCUCCAUCGCUAGAUCGUACCCUAAACCAACACAGGUGGACUGGUAGAGAAUACCAAGGCGCUUGAGAGAACCACAUUUAAGGAACUCGGCAAAAUACCUCCGUAAGUUCGCGAGAAGGAGGCCCGGUUUUUACGCAAGUAGAGGCCGGGGGCACAAACCAGGGGGUGGCGACUGUUUACUAAAAACACAGGGCUCUGCGAAGUCGCAAGACGACGUAUAGGGUCUGACGCCUGCCCGGUGCCUGAAGGUUAAAAGGAGGGGUGAGAGCUCUGAAUUGAAGCCCAGGUAAACGGCGGCCGUAACUAUAACGGUCCUAAGGUAGCGAAAUUCCUUGUCGGGUAAGUUCCGACCUGCACGAAUGGCGUAACGACUUCCCCGCUGUCUCAAAUGUGGACUCAGCGAAAUUGAAUUGCCUGUCAAGAUGCAGGCUUCCCGCGGUUAGACGGAAAGACCCCGUGCACCUUUACUACAGCUUCGCACUGGCAUCAGGAUUGUGAUGUGCAGGAUAGGUGGUAGACUUUGAAGCCGGAACGCCAGUUUCGGUGGAGUCACCCUUGAGAUACCACUCUUCGCACUCUUGAUGUCUAACCGCGGUCCGUUAUCCGGAUCCGGGACCCUGCGUGGCGGGUAGUUUGACUGGGGCGGUCGCCUCCUAAAUCGUAACGGAGGCGCGCGAAGGUUGGCUCAGACCGGUCGGAAAUCGGUCGUUGAGUGCAAUGGCAGAAGCCAGCCUGACUGCGAGACUGACAAGUCGAGCAGAGACGAAAGUCGGUCAUAGUGAUCCGGUGGUCCCAAGUGGGAGGGCCAUCGCUCAACGGAUAAAAGGUACGCCGGGGAUAACAGGCUGAUACUGCCCAAGAGUCCAUAUCGACGGCAGUGUUUGGCACCUCGAUGUCGGCUCAUCUCAUCCUGGGGCUGGAGCAGGUCCCAAGGGUACGGCUGUUCGCCGUUUAAAGAGGUACGUGAGCUGGGUUUAGAACGUCGUGAGACAGUUCGGUCCCUAUCUGCCGUGGGUGUAGGAUACUUGAGAGGAGUUGCCCCUAGUACGAGAGGACCGGGGUGAACGUUCCACUGGUGGACCUGUUGUUGCGCCAGCAGCAGUGCAGGGUAGCUAUGAACGGACAGGAUAACCGCUGAAGGCAUCUAAGCGGGAAGCCCCCCUCAAAACAAGGUAUCCCUGAGAGCCGUGGUAGACCACCACGUCGAUAGGCCGGAGAUGUAAGCGCAGCAAUGCGUUCAGUUGACCGGUACUAAUUGCUCGAUAGGCUUGAUUUG
Molecule: ribosomal RNA, 2270 nt
Filed under: Roseovarius nanhaiticus
Lineage: Bacteria; Pseudomonadati; Pseudomonadota; Alphaproteobacteria; Rhodobacterales; Roseobacteraceae
Description: bacterial LSU rRNA
Rfam family: Bacterial large subunit ribosomal RNA
Source: RNAcentral